This 440-nucleotide ribosomal RNA is filed under the name uncultured bacterium. Its description in RNAcentral is "partial 16S ribosomal RNA". It matches the Rfam family "Bacterial small subunit ribosomal RNA", at positions 338 to 795 of the family's 1533-position model. The record is from RNAcentral.
CCUACGGGAGGCAGCAGUGGGGAAUAUUGCACAAUGGGGGAAACCCUGAUGCAGCGACGCCGCGUGAAUGAAGAAGUAUUUCGGUAUGUAAACUUCUAUCAGCAGGGAAGAAAAUGACGGUACCUGACUAAGAAGCCCCGGCUAACACCGUGCCAGCAGCCGCGGUCAUACGUAGGGGGCAAGCGUUAUCCGGAUUUACUGGGUGAAAAGGGAACGGAGGCGGUUUAGCAAGUCAGAAGUGAAAGCCCGGGGCUCAACCUCCGAAGUGCAUUUGACACUGUUUUUCUGGAGUACUGGAGAGGCAGACGGAAUUCCUGGUGUAGCGGUGAAAUGCGUAGAUAUAAGGAGGAACACCAGUGGCGAAGGCGGUCUGCUGGACAGCAACUGACGGUGAGGUGCGAAAGCGUGGGGAGCAAACAGGAUUAGAUACCCCAGUAGUC